RNAcentral lists this non-coding RNA (663 nucleotides) under Georgenia sp. SUBG003. RNAcentral's name for it is "bacterial LSU rRNA". It matches the Rfam family "Bacterial large subunit ribosomal RNA", at positions 1783 to 2446 of the family's 2925-position model. The record is from RNAcentral. Lineage: Bacteria; Bacillati; Actinomycetota; Actinomycetes; Allobogoriellales; Allobogoriellaceae.
AGGGAGAAGCGACUGUUUACUAAAAAACACAGGUCCGUGCGAAGUCGCAAGACGAUGUAUACGGACUGACGCCUGCCCGGUGCUGGAAGGUUAAGAGGACGGGUCAGCCGCGAGGCGAAGCUCAGAAUUUAAGCCCCAGUAAACGGCGGUGGUAACUAUAACCAUCCUAAGGUAGCGAAAUUCCUUGUCGGGUAAGUUCCGACCUGCACGAAUGGCGUAACGACUUCUCCGCUGUCUCGACCGCGAACUCGGCGAAAAUUGCACUACGAGUAAAGAUGCUCGUUUCGCGCAGCAGGACGGAAAGACCCCGGGGACCUUUACUAUAGCUUGGUAUUGGUGUUCGGUACGGCUUGUGUAGGAUAGGUGGGAGACCGUGAAGCCGCCACGCCAGUGGUGGUGGAGUCGCCGUUGAAAUACCACUCUGGUCGUACUGCACAUCUAACCUCGGUCCGUGAUCCGGACCAGGGACAGUGCCUGGUGGGUAGUUUAACUGGGGCGGUUGCCUCCCAAAAUGUAACGGAGGCGCUCAAAGGUUCCCUCAGCCUGGUUGGCAAUCAGGUGUCGAGUGCAAGUGCACAAGGGAGCUUGACUGUGAGACUGACAGGUCGAGCAGGGACGAAGGUCGGAACUAGUGAUCCGGCGGUGGCUUGUGGAAGCGCCGUC